Non-coding RNA from Triticum urartu, 123 nucleotides. NCBI's taxonomy places the organism in Eukaryota, Viridiplantae, Streptophyta, Magnoliopsida, Poales, Poaceae. The record is from Rfam.
AUUGUACUUCCUUCAUUCCGAAUUACUUGUCUUGGAUAUCCGUAUCUAGACUCAUUUUAGUGCUAGAUACCUCCGUAUCUAGACAAAUCCAAGACAAAUAAUUCGGAACAAAGGGAGUACUUU